RNAcentral lists this ribosomal RNA (224 nucleotides) under Hypoponera foreli. RNAcentral describes it as "partial large subunit ribosomal RNA". The record is from RNAcentral. Lineage: Eukaryota; Metazoa; Arthropoda; Insecta; Hymenoptera; Formicidae.
GAAUUUUAUAUUUUAAUAUGUAAUAAUAUAUAAUUAAAAUAUUUUAUUGGGAGGAUAUUUAAAUUUAAUAAACUUUAAUUAUUAAUAACAUUGAUGAAUGAGAAAAUUUUAAAAAAUAUUAAUAUUUAAGAAUAAAUGAAUAAUUAUGAAUUAUUAAAGAAUUAAUUACCUUAGGGAUAACAGCAUAAUAUUUUUUUGUAGUUCAUAUAUAAAAAAAUGCUUGU